This 210-nucleotide ribosomal RNA is filed under the name uncultured bacterium. RNAcentral's name for it is "partial 16S ribosomal RNA". It matches the Rfam family "Bacterial small subunit ribosomal RNA", at positions 1283 to 1500 of the family's 1533-position model. The record is from RNAcentral.
CGUUCUCAGUUCGGAUCGGAGUCUGCAACCCGACUCCGUGAAGCUGGAUUCGCUAGUAAUCGCGCAUCAGCCAUGGCGCGGUGAAUACGUUCCCGGGCCUUGUACACACCGCCCGUCAAGCCAUGGAAGCCGGGGGCGCUUGAAGUGCGUUGCCGCAAGGCGCGCCCUAGAGCGAAACCGGUGACUGGGGCUAAGUCGUAACAAGGUAAC